This 202-nucleotide ribosomal RNA is filed under the name uncultured Glomus. RNAcentral describes it as "partial 18S ribosomal RNA". It matches the Rfam family "Eukaryotic small subunit ribosomal RNA", at positions 569 to 766 of the family's 1831-position model. The record is from RNAcentral. Lineage: Eukaryota; Fungi; Glomeromycota; Glomeromycetes; Glomerales; Glomeraceae.
AGCAGCCGCGGUAAUUCCAGCUCCAAUAGCGUAUAUUAAAGUUGCUGCAGUUAAAAAGCUCGUAGUUGGAUUUCUGGCUUGAAACAUUUUGCCGGCCACGGUUUCGUGUGUUAGUGCUUGAUGUUCUGGCCAUCCUUCCAAUUGCUAUUUACCUUUCUUCAUUGAUUGGUAAGUGGUAUUGGAUCUUUUACUUUGAAAAAAU